AGGGAAUAAUUUGACUUUUCCAAGUAUAUAGUUGGAAAACAUAAAUUGUUCACCUAUGAUAGAUUAUUAUUUUGGUAUGUUCUUUUCAUUUCCAAGUAAAUGAUCAAAUAAAGAGAAAAGGUUAACAUGACAUCCUCGCGUGAAGAUGAUUUUCUGACAUUUAUUCAAGAGUGGAAAUAACGUGACUUUCCUAAUUCUAUAGUUGAGAAAACAUUUUCAAAAGUACGCAUGUUCUUGGUUUGGCGUUAAAAUCAAUUAUAUGAUUUUUCCAACACUUGCCUAUUUGUUAAUGAGAAGGAAUAAUGUGACUUUCUAGAUUAUAAAGUUGGAGAACAUUUAAUUUGGUACGCAUAAGGUUCAUUUGGUGUUAGAAGCCCAUUUGGUAAUUUAUUGGAACCUAGAUAUAUUUUUUCUGGAUUUAUUUGAGGUUCCUGUGCUAUAAAACCUAUUGAAAUAUUUUAUUUCAUGAGGAAAUUACUUUCUUGCGUUCUAAACAGUUAAUUAGCAUUCCUGGAAUUUUCUGAAAUUUUUCUGAAUCCGUUUGGUAUUUUAUUUGCCUUAUGUGAAUUUCUGACCAUUUAGAGACCCAGAGAAGUUAUUUCUUUUAUUUCAUUUUCUAUUUCUUCCGCGGAGUACGUUUUCUUUGCGAGGAGGCGUAUUCUACUGAAACCCAUCUCCACUUAAGUGUAGCGAAGAGGUAUCUUCUAAUCUCAACCAUUCAUCUCUCGUCCAACGGCCCAUCUCUCUCUUUUUUUUCCUUUCUUUUCUUUUCUUUUUCUCUUUUUCUCUCUUUCUUCUUUUUUCCUCACGUGGCUGCCCAGCCCGUGCUCUUCUUCCUGGCUGCACAGCGCCAUGGCCAAGCCAGCCCCGGCCGCUGCUGCUCUCCGGCGACCCCUGCCGCCCAACGCUGCCCUG
This 915-nucleotide long non-coding RNA is filed under the name Brachypodium distachyon (stiff brome). Its description in RNAcentral is "long non-coding RNA (BDIS_LNC001772)". The record is from RNAcentral. Lineage: Eukaryota; Viridiplantae; Streptophyta; Magnoliopsida; Poales; Poaceae.